This 330-nucleotide ribosomal RNA is filed under the name uncultured eukaryote. RNAcentral describes it as "partial 18S ribosomal RNA". It matches the Rfam family "Eukaryotic small subunit ribosomal RNA", at positions 1470 to 1796 of the family's 1831-position model. The record is from RNAcentral.
CCCUUAGAUGUUCUGGGCUGCACGCGCGCUACACUGAAGCGUUCAACGAGUAUUCACCUUGCCCGGGAGGGUUGGGUAAUCUUUUGAAAACGCUUCGUGAUGGGGAUAGAUUAUUGCAACUAUUAAUCUUCAACGAGGAAUGCCUAGUAAGCGCGAAUCAUCAGUUCGCGUUGAUUACGUCCCUGCCCUUUGUACACACCGCCCGUCGCUCCUACCGAUUGAAUGGUCCGGUGAAAAUUUCGGAUACCGGCGUUGCUGGCGGUUCGCCGCCGGCGACGCUGGUAGAAGAUCUUUAAACCUUAUCAUUUAGAGGAAGGAGAAGUCGUAACA